AAAUUGAAGAGUUUGAUCAUGGCUCAGAUUGAACGCUGGCGGCAGGCCUAACACAUGCAAGUCGAACGGUAACAGGAAGCAGCUUGCUGCUUCGCUGACGAGUGGCGGACGGGUGAGUAAUGUCUGGGAAACUGCCUGAUGGAGGGGGAUAACUACUGGAAACGGUAGCUAAUACCGCAUAACGUCGCAAGACCAAAGAGGGGGACCUUCGGGCCUCUUGCCAUCGGAUGUGCCCAGAUGGGAUUAGCUUGUUGGUGGGGUAACGGCUCAC
RNAcentral lists this ribosomal RNA (271 nucleotides) under Escherichia coli. RNAcentral's name for it is "partial 16S ribosomal RNA". It matches the Rfam family "Bacterial small subunit ribosomal RNA", at positions 1 to 268 of the family's 1533-position model. The record is from RNAcentral. RNAcentral also lists the same sequence under 1 other name. Lineage: Bacteria; Pseudomonadati; Pseudomonadota; Gammaproteobacteria; Enterobacterales; Enterobacteriaceae.